UGCGUAGGCGGCUUUUUAAGUCGGAUGUGAAAUCCCUGAGCUUAACUUAGGAAUUGCAUUCGAUACUGGGAAGCUAGAGUAUGGGAGAGGAUGGUAGAAUUCCAGGUGUAGCGGUGAAAUGCGUAGAGAUCUGGAGGAAUACCGAUGGCUAAGGCGACCACCUGGACUGAUACUGACACUGAGGUGCGAAAGCGUGGGGAGCAAACAGGAUUAGAUACCCCUGUA
This 225-nucleotide ribosomal RNA is filed under the name uncultured Acinetobacter sp. Its description in RNAcentral is "partial 16S ribosomal RNA". It matches the Rfam family "Bacterial small subunit ribosomal RNA", at positions 568 to 792 of the family's 1533-position model. Lineage: Bacteria; Pseudomonadati; Pseudomonadota; Gammaproteobacteria; Moraxellales; Moraxellaceae. The record is from RNAcentral.